GUUAACUGCCCGCCGUUAUAUGUCUGAAAUACUGUUGAAAUAAAAAACAAACGGCGUUAAACCCAAAACAAACAAACAAUUUAUAAACAUGUAUCUGUAUGUCGUAUAAAUAAAUGGGAAAUGUCAGUGAUGAAAAAUAGAUUUUGAACAUCACUACUGAUUCGUAAAAUUCUAUAUGCAUGCAUGUGCAUCUGAUGUGCAGUAGGAGUUAUGGUUGGGUGAAGGUAUUAUACAAACUAUAUGUUGUGUUUUUCACUCAAUAAAUAUCGCAUUUCUUUAUCAUAUAAUUUUAUUUCUGACUAAAAGUCAAUGUUACAGUAGUCCAGCGUUCGUCUGUGUUAGCUUUUGUUAUAUGGAUUACCGUGGAAUACAAAUCGAGCGAAACCUUUCGGAUACGGAUUUUAGAUAUUAAUAAAGUCCAAAGAAGACCAGGUUUACCAUGAAAGUAAAUUGUUAGGGUCUACACUUGUUCCCGGAGACUGCAUAAACCGAUCAGUAAUGUUACCCGAACUUGAUGUCGGUGAUUGGCUCUACUACGAGGACAUGGGUGCUUACACUCUAAGUGUGGCUACAAUAUUUAACGGGCUGGACGCAACUGCAAUAAAAUACCAUUGCUUGGAAGAGUUGUGGUACCAAGUGUAUCCAGAUUGCAAGUCGGACGAAAAGUCAAUCACCUGAUUAUCUCAGUCAACACACCAAUGACAUAUAUCCUUUUCUUGAGGGGAAUGGAAGACGAGUGCAGCAAACAGUCUUGUUAAAGAGCUUGGACGUCAUUAUGCGUACGUUAAUGAUGCAGUUAACCUUGCCACCAGGAUCGUUUCAAUUUUAUUUAACUGUAGCAAUUCAUUGUACUUCGUGCAAAUAAAUAUUUAACUGCUAAUAUGUUUGUUCUUCUCUGACAAUGCAAGUGAGAGUUUUAAGUAAGCGACCCUUCAAAGGUUUUUAUAUGUAACACUUUUAAUUAAUUUUAUUACAAAAGGUGAAUGCCUACAUUUUGUAAUGUUAUUUCAGACAGAUAUAACAGACAGAUAUCCAAGCAUGCUGUAAAAAUUACAUUUAGGACUUGAUUUGUAAAUGACUAUACACAUUUUAACCACAAUUAUGAUAUCUUGUAUAAUUUUACAAUGUUUGAAAAGUUAAAACUGCACUUCAGAGUAAAUAAAUAUA
Molecule: long non-coding RNA, 1167 nt
Organism: Mercenaria mercenaria
Lineage: Eukaryota; Metazoa; Mollusca; Bivalvia; Venerida; Veneridae
Exons: 4
Source: RefSeq, a predicted model, not a curated record